This 607-nucleotide ribosomal RNA is filed under the name uncultured Lachnospiraceae bacterium. RNAcentral's name for it is "bacterial SSU rRNA". It matches the Rfam family "Bacterial small subunit ribosomal RNA", at positions 77 to 703 of the family's 1533-position model. The record is from RNAcentral. Lineage: Bacteria; Bacillati; Bacillota; Clostridia; Lachnospirales; Lachnospiraceae.
AAGGUUUUUGUGACUGAGUGGCGGACGGGUGAGUAACGCGUGGGUAACCUGCCUCAUACAGGGGGAUAACAGUUAGAAAUGACUGCUAAUACCGCAUAAGACCACAGAGCCGCAUGGCUCGGUGGGAAAAACUCCGGUGGUAUGAGAUGGACCCGCGUCUGAUUAGGUAGUUGGUGGGGUAACGGCCUACCAAGCCAACGAUCAGUAGCCGACCUGAGAGGGUGACCGGCCACAUUGGGACUGAGACACGGCCCAAACUCCUACGGGAGGCAGCAGUGGGGAAUAUUGCACAAUGGGGGAAACCCUGAUGCAGCGACGCCGCGUGAGCGAAGAAGUAUUUCGGUAUGUAAAGCUCUAUCAGCAGGGAAGAAAAUGACGGUACCUGACUAAGAAGCACCGGCUAAAUACGUGCCAGCAGCCGCGGUAAUACGUAUGGUGCAAGCGUUAUCCGGAUUUACUGGGUGUAAAGGGAGCGUAGACGGCUGUGUAAGUCUGAAGUGAAAGCCCGGGGCUCAACCCCGGGACUGCUUUGGAAACUAUGCAGCUAGAGUGUCGGAGAGGUAAGUGGAAUUCCCAGUGUAGCGGUGAAAUGCGUAGAUAUUGGGAG